Molecule: ribosomal RNA, 460 nt
Filed under: uncultured bacterium
Lineage: Bacteria
Description: partial 16S ribosomal RNA
Rfam family: Bacterial small subunit ribosomal RNA
Source: RNAcentral
CCUACGGGAGGCAGCAGUGAGGAAUAUUGGUCAAUGGACGAGAGUCUGAACCAGUCAAGUAGCGUGAAGGAUGACUGCCCUAUGGGUUGUAAACUUCUUUUAUAUGGGAAUAAAAUGUUCCACGUGUGGGAUUUUGUAUGUACCAUAUGAAUAAGGAUCGGCUAACUCCGUGCCAGCAGCCGCGGUAAUACGGAGGAUCCGAGCGUUAUCCGGAUUUAUUGGGUUUAAAGGGAGCGUAGGUGGAUUGUUAAGUCAGUUGUGAAAGUUUGCGGCUCAACCGUAAAAUUGCAGUUGAAACUGGCAGUCUUGAGUACAGUAGAGGUGGGCGGAAUUCGUGGUGUAGCGGUGAAAUGCUUAGAUAUCACGAAGAACUCCGAUUGCGAAGGCAGUUCACUGGACUGCAACUGACACUGAGGCUCGAAAGUGUGGGUAUCAAACAGGAUUAGAUACCCCAGUAGUC